Molecule: ribosomal RNA, 342 nt
Filed under: Actias maenas
Lineage: Eukaryota; Metazoa; Arthropoda; Insecta; Lepidoptera; Saturniidae
Description: partial 16S ribosomal RNA
Source: RNAcentral
AAAGGUAGCAUAAUUAUUAGUUUUUUAAUUGGUGACUUGUAUGAAGGAUUGGAUGAGAUAUAAACUGUUUUAAAAGUAAAUUGGUUGAAUUUAAUUUUUUAAUUAAAAAGUUAAAAUAAUAUAAAAAGACGAGAAGACCCUAUAGAGUUUUAUAUUACGAUAAAUUUAAUUUAUUUAUAAAUUUAUUGAAUGUAAAUUUAUUGUAAUAUUUUGUUGGGGUGAUAGAAAAAUAUAAUAAACUUUUUUUUUGAGUUUCCAUAAAUAAGUGAAUAUUUGAUCCAAUUUUAUUGAUUAUAAGAAAAAAUUACCUUAGGUAUAACAGCGUAAUUUUUUUUUUUAGUU